RNAcentral lists this ribosomal RNA (465 nucleotides) under uncultured bacterium. RNAcentral's name for it is "bacterial SSU rRNA". It matches the Rfam family "Bacterial small subunit ribosomal RNA", at positions 338 to 795 of the family's 1533-position model. The record is from RNAcentral.
CCUACGGGAGGCAGCAGUGGGGAAUAUUGGACAAUGGGGGAAACCCUGAUCCAGCAAUACCAUGUGUGUGAAGAAGGCUUUAGAGUUGUAAAGCACUUUAGUUGAGGAAGAAGUUUUAUUAAUUAAUACCUAAUUUGAUUGACGGUACUCAAAGAAUAAGCACCGGCUAACUCCGUGCCAGCAGCCGCGGUAAUACGGAGGGUGCAAGCGUUAAUCGGAAUUACUGGGCGUAAAGAGUUCGUAGGCGGUGAAAUAAGUCAGAUGUGAAAGCCUUAAGCUUAACUUAAGAAGUGCAUUUGAUACUGUUUUACUAGAGUUUAGUAGAGGAUUGAGGAAUUUUCGGUGUAGCGGUGAAAUGCAUAGAUAUCGGAAGGAAUAUCAAUGGCGAAGGCAACAAUCUGGGUUUAAACUGACGCUGAGGAACGAAAGCAUGGGGAGCAAACAGGAUUAGAUACCCGAGUAGUC